Molecule: transfer RNA, 57 nt
Filed under: Linguatula arctica
Lineage: Eukaryota; Metazoa; Arthropoda; Ichthyostraca; Porocephalida; Linguatulidae
Description: tRNA-Lys
Source: RNAcentral
AACUAGAACCCUCAGGAGUAAAACUUUUAAUUUUACAUAGAUUCUUAUCUCUAGUUU